UACAAGAAUUCACAAUUUCACUAAUGGAUUUCACUAACGGAUGGUAAAUCCGUUAGUAUCACUAACGGAUUCACCAACGGUUUGCAAUCCGUUAAUGAUAGUAACGGAUUCACCAACGGCUUGAAAUCCGUCAGUGAUUCUAACGGAUUCACGGAAUCACUCUAACGGACUACUUACGGAUGAAGCCAUCCGUCAGUAAUCCGUGGGUGAAAAUUUUGGAGCCAAAAUCCCAGUCUUAAAUGAAAGACCUAAUUCCUUAAAAUCAAAAUCACUGAAAUCUGAAGUUGUCUCCAACCUUGCCGUCGUUCACUGCCAAGUGCAUCGUCCGCCGCCAUCAACGGUUCGCCGCCAUCAACGGUUCGCCGCCAUCAACGGUUCGCCGCCAUCAACGGUUCGCCGCCAUCAACCGUCGACAACGAAGCUUAUUCUCAACAUCAAUAUCCACGGGCUCACUGAAAUCGGAACUUGGUUCCAACCUAUCGGCUGUUCACUGCCCUGUUCAUCCAACGUCCACCGCCAUCAAAAGGUUCGCCGCCAUCAACGGUUCGCCGCCAUCGACAGUCGACAACGGAGCUUAUUCUCAGCAUCAAUAUCCACGGGCUCACUGAAAUCGGAACUUGGGUCCAACCUCUCGGCCGUUCACUGCCCUGUUCAUCCAACGUCCACCGCCAUCAAAAGGAAAUCUCACACUCAAUGCAUACGAGGAGGAUUGUGAAUUUGCCGAUCCAGCUGGUUCAUUUAGAGGACUUGCACGUUUCAAGAGAAACUGUACAAAUUUCGGAUUACUUAUUGAGAAGUCGAAUAUGAAUCUUACAAAGUGGGAAGAUUUUGAGGUGAGAUCAUUGUGUUUUAGGCAUUAUGUUCAACAGAGCUGAGGAAGUUUCAUUCAUGGAUUUUGCCAACACUAGUGGACAAGGGAAUUGGGCAUUGGCGUUUUAGCUGUAUCAUGUCAUUUUCUUGGAGGCCUAUUCUCUCUGCUACUGGGUAUACAGAGUACUAUUUUGACGCACAAUCUGGAAGAGUAUGCAGGGUCCUGGCAGCUGUGAAGGUGCAAAACAUGACAAAAAUUCAACUACAAAGUGCGAGAGAAAAUCCAUGAACAACGUUCGAAUGGCAAAGACAAGGUUAAAUGAACGUGUAAAGAAUGAUUGCUUUCCUAAAGUGAACAAGGAGAAUCUCCAAGAGCCCUAAUAUAGUUUCCAAUAGAACUUUGAAGAGAGGACCUUAUGGUUAUAAACAAGCUGAAGCACAUAAUGGUGCUGCCCAUAAUUUUUAUUUCAAAUUAAAAUUGUAGUACAAAUUCUUUAAGUUUCACAUAUAUUUGAAUGAGUAAUUUGGUUUUUUACGUAGUA
This is a long non-coding RNA of Manihot esculenta (cassava), 1352 nucleotides long. RefSeq lists it as uncharacterized. The transcript has 5 exons. NCBI's taxonomy places the organism in Eukaryota, Viridiplantae, Streptophyta, Magnoliopsida, Malpighiales, Euphorbiaceae. The record is from RefSeq and is a predicted model, not a curated record.